GGACAUAUAGCUCAGUGGUAGAGCAAUUGACUGCAGAUCAACAGGUUGGUGGUUCAAAUUUGCCUGCAUCCU
RNAcentral lists this transfer RNA (72 nucleotides) under Basidiobolus meristosporus CBS 931.73. It matches the Rfam family "tRNA". From Rfam's summary of the family: Transfer RNA (tRNA) molecules are approximately 80 nucleotides in length. Their secondary structure includes four short double-helical elements and three loops (D, anti-codon, and T loops). Further hydrogen bonds mediate the characteristic L-shaped molecular structure. tRNAs have two regions of fundamental functional importance: the anti-codon, which is responsible for specific mRNA codon recognition, and the 3' end, to which the tRNAs corresponding amino acid is attached (by aminoacyl-tRNA synthetases). tRNAs cope with the degeneracy of the genetic code in two manners: having more than one tRNA (with a specific anti-codon) for a particular amino acid; and 'wobble' base-pairing, i.e. permitting non-standard base-pairing at the 3rd anti-codon position. The record is from Rfam by way of RNAcentral. Lineage: Eukaryota; Fungi; Basidiobolomycota; Basidiobolomycetes; Basidiobolales; Basidiobolaceae.